RNAcentral lists this ribosomal RNA (498 nucleotides) under uncultured bacterium. RNAcentral's name for it is "partial 16S ribosomal RNA". It matches the Rfam family "Bacterial small subunit ribosomal RNA", at positions 30 to 507 of the family's 1533-position model. The record is from RNAcentral.
CGAACGCUGGCGGCGUGCUUAACACAUGCAAGUCGAACGGGCCUGUCUUCUUUUUUGGGGGGUGGGUUGAGUGGCGAACGGGUGAGUAUCACGUGAGUAACCUGCCCUUCGGUCCUGGAUAACCGCUUGAAAGGGCGGCUAAUACGGGGUGGUCCGGUUGGUCCGCAUGGGCUGGUCGGGAUAGAUUCACUGUUUUUGGUGUUUCGGCGGGGGAUGGGCUCGCGGCCUAUCAGCUUGUUGGUGGGGUGAUGGCCUACCAAGGCGGUGACGGGUAGCCGGCCUGAGAGGGUGGGCGGCCACACUGGGACUGAGAUACGGCCCAGACUCCUGCGGGAGGCAGCAGUGGGGGGUAUUGCACAAUGGGCGGAAGCCUGAUGCAGCGACGUCGCGUGAGGGAUGGAGGCCUUCGGGUUGUGAACCUCUGUUUCCGGUGGUGAAGGCCCUGUCCGUGUGGUGGGGUUGACGGUAGCCGGGGAUGAAGCGCCGGCUAACUACGUG